UAGGGAAUCUUCCACAAUGGACGCAAGUCUGAUGGAGCAACGCCGCGUGAGUGAAGAAGGCUUUCGGGUCGUAAAACUCUGUUAUUGAAGAAGAACGUGCGUGACAGUAACUGGUCAUGCAGUGACGGUAUUCAAUCAGAAAGUCACGGCUAACUACGUGCCAGCAGCUGCGGUAAUACGUAGGUGGCAAGCGUUGUCCGGAUUUAUUGGGCGUAAAGCGAGUGCAGGCGGUCUUUUAAGUCUGAUGUGAAAGCCUUCGGCUUAACCGAAGAAGGGCAUCGGAAACUGGGAGACUUGAGUGCAGAAGAGGAGAGUGGAACUCCAUGUGUAGCGGUGAAAUGCGUAGAUAUAUGGAAGAACACCAGUGGCGAAGGCGGCUCUCUGGUCUGUAACUGACGCUGAGGCCCGAAAGCGUGGGUAGCAAACAGGAUUAGAUACCCUGGUAG
Molecule: ribosomal RNA, 446 nt
Filed under: uncultured bacterium
Lineage: Bacteria
Description: partial 16S ribosomal RNA
Rfam family: Bacterial small subunit ribosomal RNA
Source: RNAcentral